AUGUGUCUCUGUCUCAGGAAGAAGACUGAUUGGUUCCUGCAGUCUAAUUGGUGCCACGCCCUCCCCGGUCAGCUGACUCCUAACUGCCUAUAAAAGCCUCCUUUGUCACUUCUUGCAUCAGCCUUGUGCUCACUUGCUGUGUUUGCUCUGCUUGACCCUGCUAGUUAGUUACAAACGGAGGCAGCGAGGGGGAGAAAGAGAAGCAGGAGGAGGGACAAGAGCAUGGAGGGAAACGAGAAACAGACAGAGCUUGUGCUCUUUUUCAGGGCUGAGAGCGAGGAGCCUGGGAACGUGGAGCAGUUUGGCCAGCCUGAUAGAAAUAUCCUGAGUUGAAAUGUAAACAGGCCUGAUCUCUGAUCUACCCGGAGAGCCCCUGAUCUGACCCGGCAUUCCACCCAGGGGUUCAACGCUGACAUCAGGAGCCCACUUUCUCAUUUCCUGGGCUGGACGCUGACCCCUCGGGAAAGUGGGGGCCCUUGCAUACACACUUGAGGAUGCAGUUUCCCACAAGGGUUGGAUUUCAGUUGGGCAGGAAAAACCUGACAGACAUCAGAGUGCUCUGUGUGCUUUCUCUGUGCUAGAGAAAUCAUAUCAAGCCUGAAUGUGUCUCACAAUUCACAACCAUUGGCUGGUGCAAAGAAAAGUCAACACAGCUCUUCCCCACUCUGCAUUCCUGCAGGAAUAUUCCCCACAUUGCAUUAGAAACAAAUUAUAUAA
Long non-coding RNA from Sinocyclocheilus anshuiensis, 717 nucleotides. RefSeq lists it as uncharacterized. The record is from RefSeq and is a predicted model, not a curated record. The transcript has 4 exons. NCBI's taxonomy places the organism in Eukaryota, Metazoa, Chordata, Actinopteri, Cypriniformes, Cyprinidae.